AUUGAACGCUGGCGGAAUGCUUUACACAUGCAAGUCGAACGGCAGCACGGGGGCAACCCUGGUGGCGAGUGGCGAACGGGUGAGUAAUGCAUCGGAACGUACCCAAUCGUGGGGGAUAACGUGGCGAAAGUCACGCUAAUACCGCAUACGUCCUGAGGGAGAAAGCAGGGGAUCGCAAGACCUUGCGCGAUUGGAGCGGCCGAUGUCUGAUUAGCUAGUUGGUGGGGUAAAGCCUACCAAGGCGACGAUCAGUAGCUGGUCUGAGAGGAUGAUCAGCCACACUGGGACUGAGACACGGCCCAGACUCCUACGGGAGGCAGCAGUGGGGAAUUUUGGACAAUGGGCGAAAGCCUGGUCCAGCCAUUCCGCGUGAGUGAAGAAGGCC
This 385-nucleotide ribosomal RNA is filed under the name uncultured bacterium. RNAcentral describes it as "bacterial SSU rRNA". It matches the Rfam family "Bacterial small subunit ribosomal RNA", at positions 29 to 416 of the family's 1533-position model. The record is from RNAcentral.